GCCCGCGUAGCAGAGUGGUCAAAUGCGUAAGACUUAAGAUCUUAUCCCGAAUGGGUUCGUGGGUUCGAACCCCACCGCUGGCA
Naegleria gruberi is the source of this 83-nucleotide transfer RNA. It matches the Rfam family "tRNA". From Rfam's summary of the family: Transfer RNA (tRNA) molecules are approximately 80 nucleotides in length. Their secondary structure includes four short double-helical elements and three loops (D, anti-codon, and T loops). NCBI's taxonomy places the organism in Eukaryota, Heterolobosea, Eutetramitea, Acrasida, Naegleriidae. The record is from Rfam.